ACUCCUACGGGAGGCAGCAGUCGAGAAUUUUUCUCAAUGGGGGCAACCCUGAAGGAGCGACGCCGCGUGGAGGAUGAAGGUCUUCGGGUUGUAAACCCCUUUCAGUUGGGACGAAGCUCCGUCGGUGAAUAGCCGGCUGGGGUGACGGUACCUUCAGAAGAAGCCCCGGCUAACUACGUGCCAGCAGCCGCGGUAAU
RNAcentral lists this ribosomal RNA (197 nucleotides) under uncultured Rubrobacteraceae bacterium. RNAcentral's name for it is "partial 16S ribosomal RNA". It matches the Rfam family "Bacterial small subunit ribosomal RNA", at positions 335 to 524 of the family's 1533-position model. The record is from RNAcentral. Lineage: Bacteria; Bacillati; Actinomycetota; Rubrobacteria; Rubrobacterales; Rubrobacteraceae.